UGGCGGCGUGCCUAACACAUGCAANCUCGAACGAGAAAGUGGAGCAAUCCAUGAGUAAAGUGGCGACCGGGUGAGUAACACGUGACUAACCUACCCUCGAGUGGGGAAUAACUCCGGGAAACCGGAGCUAAUACCGCAUAACAUCUUCGGAACGCGAGUUCUGUUGAUCAAAGGAGCAAUUCGCUUGAGGAGGGAGUCGCGGCUGAUUAGCUAGUUGGCGGGGUAAUGGCCCACCAAGGCUUAGAUCGGUAGCCGGCCUGAGAGGGCGCACGGCCACACUGGAACUGAAACACGGUCCAGACUCCUACGGGAGGCAGCAGUGGGGAAUUUUGCGCAAUGGGGGAAACCCUGACGCAGCAACGCCGCGUGGAGGAUGAAGUCCCUUGGGAUGUAAACUCCUUUCGACCGGGAAGAUGAUGACGGUACCGGUAGAAGAAGCACCGGCUAACUCUGUGCCAGCAGCCG
Molecule: ribosomal RNA, 465 nt
Filed under: uncultured bacterium
Lineage: Bacteria
Description: bacterial SSU rRNA
Rfam family: Bacterial small subunit ribosomal RNA
Source: RNAcentral